AGAGUUUGAUCCUGGCUCAGAGCGAACGCUGGCGGCAGGCCUAACACAUGCAAGUCGAACGGAUCCUUCGGGAUUAGUGGCGGACGGGUGAGUAACACGUGGGAACGUGCCCUUUGGUUCGGAACAACUCAGGGAAACUUGAGCUAAUACCGGAUGUGCCCUUCGGGGGAAAGAUUUAUCGCCAUUGGAGCGGCCCGCGUCUGAUUAGCUAGUUGGUGAGGUAAAGGCUCACCAAGGCGACGAUCAGUAGCUGGUCUGAGAGGAUGAUCAGCCACAUUGGGACUGAGACACGGCCCAAACUCCUACGGGAGGCAGCAGUGGGGAAUCUUGCGCAAUGGGCGAAAGCCUGACGCAGCCAUGCCGCGUGAAUGAUGAAGGUCUUAGGAUUGUAAAAUUCUUUCACCGGGGACGAUAAUGACGGUACCCGGAGAAGAAGCCCCGGCUAACUUCGUGCCAGCAGCCGCGGUAAUACGAAGGGGGCUAGCGUUGCUCGGAAUUACUGGGCGUAAAGGGAGCGUAGGCGGACUGUUUAGUCAGAGGUGAAAGCCCAGGGCUCAACCUUGGAAUUGCCUUUGAUACUGGCAGUCUUGAGUACGGAAGAGGUAUGUGGAACUCCGAGUGUAGAGGUGAAAUUCGUAGAUAUUCGGAAGAACACCAGUGGCGAAGGCGACAUACUGGUCCGUUACUGACGCUGAGGCUCGAAAGCGUGGGGAGCAAACAGGAUUAGAUACCCUGGUAGUCCACGCCGUAAACGAUGAGUGCUAGUUGUCGGCAUGCAUGCAUGUCGGUGACGCAGCUAA
This 800-nucleotide ribosomal RNA is filed under the name uncultured bacterium. RNAcentral describes it as "bacterial SSU rRNA". It matches the Rfam family "Bacterial small subunit ribosomal RNA", at positions 8 to 855 of the family's 1533-position model. The record is from RNAcentral.